This 460-nucleotide ribosomal RNA is filed under the name uncultured bacterium. RNAcentral's name for it is "partial 16S ribosomal RNA". It matches the Rfam family "Bacterial small subunit ribosomal RNA", at positions 338 to 795 of the family's 1533-position model. The record is from RNAcentral.
CCUACGGGAGGCAGCAGUGAGGAAUAUUGGUCAAUGGACGAGAGUCUGAACCAGCCAAGUAGCGUGAAGGAUGACUGCCCUAUGGGUUGUAAACUUCUUUUAUAUGGGAAUAAAAUGUUCCACGUGUGGGAUUUUGUAUGUACCAUAUGAAUAAGGAUCGGCUAACUCCGUGCCAGCAGCCGCGGUAAUACGGAGGAUCCGAGCGUUAUCCGGAUUUAUUGGGUUUAAAGGGAGCGUAGGGGGAUUGUUAAGUCAGUUGUGAAAGUUUGCGGCUCAACCGUAAAAUUGCAGUUGAAACUGGCAGUCUUGAGUACAGUAGAGGUGGGUGGAAUUCGUGGUGUAGCGGUGAAAUGCUUAGAUAUCACGAAGAACUCCGAUUGCGAAGGCAGUUCACUGGACUGCAACUGACACUGAGGCUCGAAAGUGUGGGUAUCAAACAGGAUUAGAUACCCCAGUAGUC